Molecule: long non-coding RNA, 217 nt
Filed under: Elaeis guineensis (African oil palm)
Lineage: Eukaryota; Viridiplantae; Streptophyta; Magnoliopsida; Arecales; Arecaceae
Description: long non-coding RNA (EGUI_LNC078882)
Source: RNAcentral
CAUGUGAUCCUUAAUUCGAACAGGAUCUGACAUACGCAAGUCAUAGAUUGAUACCUGCACUUCAGCCAUGUAAGAAUUAUUUGCACUACAAAUUACUCAGGAGAACUAUGUAGAUAAAAGACACAAUAUGUCAACAAUCUGACAACGGAAGAUGUCCAAGACAUGGAAAGGGACUAGAUCAUAUCUAGGAUACUAAGAACAAAUUCCAGCAGAAAUC